Molecule: ribosomal RNA, 505 nt
Filed under: uncultured bacterium
Lineage: Bacteria
Description: partial 16S ribosomal RNA
Rfam family: Bacterial small subunit ribosomal RNA
Source: RNAcentral
GACGAACGCUGGCGGCGUGCCUAAUACAUGCAAGUAGAACGCACAGUUUAUACCGUAGCUUGCUACACCAUAGACUGUGAGUUGCGAACGGGUGAGUAACGCGUAGGUAACCUGCCUGGUAGCGGGGGAUAACUAUUGGAAACGAUAGCUAAUACCGCAUAAUAUUAAUUAUUGCAUGAUAAUUAAUUGAAAGGUGCAAUUGCACCACUACCAGAUGGACCUGCGUUGUAUUAGCUAGUAGGUGAGGUAACAGCUCACCUAGGCGACGAUACAUAGCCGACCUGAGAGGGUGAUCGGCCACACUGGGACUGAGACACGGCCCAGACUCCUACGGGAGGCAGCAGGAGGGAAUCUUCGGCAAUGGACGAAAGUCUGACCGAGCAACGCCGCGUGAGUGAAGAAGGUUUUCGGAUCGUAAAGCUCUGUUGUAAGAGAAGAACGGGUGUGAGAGUGGAAAGUUCACACUGUGACGGUAUCUUACCAGAAAGGGACGGCUAACUACGUG